This 967-nucleotide long non-coding RNA is filed under the name Linum usitatissimum (flax). Its description in RNAcentral is "long non-coding RNA (LUSI_LNC007385)". Lineage: Eukaryota; Viridiplantae; Streptophyta; Magnoliopsida; Malpighiales; Linaceae. The record is from RNAcentral.
GGUUUGCUUCCUUCUUUCUUGCAGAAGAGAAACCGGAUGAUCAGAAGCUGCUUCAAGCGUCAUCCUGAUGAACUUGGCAAAACCCUUGCUGCAAUUUUCUUUAAUCGGGUUACAGAAAUCUUAAACACUCGAUGUACAAAGACAAAAAGCUUUUGUUGAUUCCUCGGUUGGUUAUGUAUAUAGGAUAAGGCUAACUUUUGGUCCACCUAAUACCACUUUCGGUUUAGCCGAAAUUAGUUGUUUCGGAAAUGGGAAGCAAUUAGUUUCGGGUUUGGUUUUCUUAAUGUGGUUGCCUUUCAAAUUUCAAUAGUCGGUUCAGCUUUUGCUUGAAGUCGCAGAUACACAAAAUUGUCAGAACAUCAGUGAUUAUUAAAAAGGUUAUAUUGAAAGAGUGUUACAAGGCAAAUAGAAAAUAUCAAGAUCCUCUGCAAGCUGUACAGACACAGCAGCUGUAGGUACAAAACGAAACAGAAUUUUGUAAUAUUCUGAAAUAAAUGACAAAACCAGAUAAGCCAUCCCUGAGGCAAUUGGUGUUCAGCCAAAGCAAAACGGCUAAACAACCAAGACCUCAAUUUUUAAGAUGCAUCCUAUUGGCUGAAUCCAAUGGUCUUUAUUGUGUCUGAAAUUCGUGUUUGUUCUGACGGUGAGGAUGAAGUCGGACUGUCCAGCACGCACUAGUUCAAGACACAACUUUCCUUUUUCUCCUAUAGGUUAGUUAUGUAAGCUGAAGCAUGAGCUCCAUUAUACAAAAACGGCACUGAUUUGGGAAAUAAAUUUAUAACCCAAGUAUUUGUUAGUGUAUUAGAAUAUAAUAUUUACAUGAUUUUGUAUGUUUUUAUUCAUUCUUAUACAUUUACAUAAUCUUAUAAAUUUCCUAACUAAACAUGACGUGAGGAUUUUUUUACUUUUUUAUAUUUUUAGUGUAAAUAUGACAUCUGAUAUGAUCUUAAUUUAACCGGUCAAAUGG